GGGGGAUGUGCUUCCCCGUACUUAGUGAUUUAGGAAUGUGAAAAGAGUGUGUCCAGGAGAAAGUGAUGAAAUUCACAAGAAAAACUCAAAAUCCAAAAGAAGGAGCAGAUUAGCUAGACCAAAUGAAUCAGUUGGUCAACAGGGAGAGACACUUAUCUAGUCAACGUCAACGAUUCAGAAUAUGGCUGAGGACCAGGCAGGAAGCCAAAAGAGAUGUCCCAGAGUCCAUGUACUUUCCUGAUAGAAGAACCCUUCAGGCCCUGUACCCUGUACAGAGCCUUUUAUUCUGACUCUGGAUGCAAGUGUAACAAGAGCAGCAGGACAUGGGAGCAAUGACAUGGAAGGUCAGCUAGACCGAAAGCAUGGAUUUUCACCAUAAUCAUCAACAGCAGCAACAACACGACCCCUCCUACAUGUAUAUAGAGAGCUUUCCAGUUUACAAAGAACUUUCAUGUAUAUUUAAUCACUGCAACAACAGGUCUCUUUUCUGUUCGCCAAACAGGAUGGUUUCCUAUCUCCACGCAUUUGCUCACAAAGUUACCCCCCGUCUGGUGUGCCCUUUCCUAUCUCAUCUUACUUGAUUCU
Non-coding RNA from Phascolarctos cinereus (koala), 585 nucleotides. The record is from RefSeq and is a predicted model, not a curated record. NCBI's taxonomy places the organism in Eukaryota, Metazoa, Chordata, Mammalia, Diprotodontia, Phascolarctidae.